Long non-coding RNA from Dalotia coriaria, 746 nucleotides. RefSeq lists it as uncharacterized. The transcript has 3 exons. The record is from RefSeq and is a predicted model, not a curated record. NCBI's taxonomy places the organism in Eukaryota, Metazoa, Arthropoda, Insecta, Coleoptera, Staphylinidae.
CAGGCAUUCAGUCCGCUGCGGGUAUUGUUGCGUUGGGAGUUGGGAAGAAUGAACGAUGAAGACACCUUGCGCAUUGCGGAAAAGGUGUUUGAAGGACUUGAGACUACUACAACUACCUGAAACACAUUCAUCAUGUGAGCGCGACCGUGCGAAGCUUUGAUGCGAGGCAUGUGUGUGGAGAAUAUUGCGUGGGAGACAAUUUACUCUUCGAUUGGGAUGUGGGAAAAAGGAUUGCAGCGGAAUGAAAUGACAAAUUGGUUACCGAUUGAUUGACAGCUAGCCGUUAAAGCUGAUUUCACGUACAACCGCCCGUGACUGUGGCAAAUUAACAAGUAUAUUAUGCAGUUGUGUUUUAGAAUUAAAUGAUCAGACAUGACAGAAAAUUUUCAUUUGGGAAAACGUCAAUCAAAAUCAUCAGUGAAAUUUAAACUCUUGAAAUUUUCACAGAAUAGAGUUGUGCGUUUGCGUACAGAUGCAAAUCGUAGGCGUAAUAUUAUCAAGUGUUGGAGUCAUUUGUCGUCGGCGAUAACGGACGUCCAAAAACACGAUCCAUGCAACGAUGUGCAGAGGGAGUGGUCCCCAGAUAAGAAAGAUGUGCUACCCAAACGAAACGUAGUGAACUAUCUUAAAUCGAUUUUUAAGUUAAACAAAAGACAUUAUUAUACCCAAUCAUCAUGGUACUACAUUUUCCAAUUUGCUUCGGAAACUAUAACUAUGAUUAAAUUUCCACACAAACUUUCACCCCC